GCAGAUCCAUUUUCUGCCACCGAAUACAUUAGCAUGGGAUAAUGGAAUAGGACCCUGUCCUCCUAUUUUCAGUUGGUUUUGGCAGCGCGAGGACUAGGGUAAUGAUUAAUAGGGAUAGUUGGGGGCAUUAAUAUUUAAUUGUCAGAGGUGAAAUUCUUGGAUUUAUGAAAGAUUAACUUCUGCGAAAGCAUCUGCCAAGGAUGUUUUCAUUAAUCAAGAACGAAAGUUAGGGGAUCGAAGACGAUCAGAUACCGUCGUAGUCUUAACCAUAAACGAUGCCGACCAGCGAUUAGGAGACGUUGAAUACAAAACACCACCAUCGGCGCGGUCGUCCUUGGCGUCUCGGUUUUUGGCGGGGCCGGGGGGCGGGUUAGGCCUGUGGCGGCGGCGAAUGAGACCGCCUCCCCCAU
Molecule: ribosomal RNA, 410 nt
Filed under: Acanthamoeba sp.
Lineage: Eukaryota; Discosea; Longamoebia; Acanthamoebidae
Description: SSU rRNA
Rfam family: Eukaryotic small subunit ribosomal RNA (bases 1-348)
Source: RNAcentral